GUGCUUGCUUUGGCAGCACAUAUACUAAAAUUGGAACGAUACAGAAAAGAUUAGCAUGGCCACUGUGCAAGGAUGACAUGCAAAUUCAUGAACUGUUCCAUAUUUUU
Small nuclear RNA from Manis javanica (Malayan pangolin), 107 nucleotides. Lineage: Eukaryota; Metazoa; Chordata; Mammalia; Pholidota; Manidae. The record is from RefSeq and is a predicted model, not a curated record.